This 460-nucleotide ribosomal RNA is filed under the name uncultured bacterium. RNAcentral describes it as "partial 16S ribosomal RNA". It matches the Rfam family "Bacterial small subunit ribosomal RNA", at positions 338 to 795 of the family's 1533-position model. The record is from RNAcentral.
CCUACGGGAGGCAGCAGUGAGGAAUAUUGGUCAAUGGCCGAGAGGCUGAACCAGCCAAGUCGCGUGAGGGAUGACGGCUCUACGGGUUGUAAACCUCUUUUGUCGGGGAGCAAAGAGAGUCACGUGUGGCUCAUUGAGAGUAUCCGAAGAAAAAGCAUCGGCUAACUCCGUGCCAGCAGCCGCGGUAAUACGUAGGUGGGAAGCGUUGUCCGGAAUUACUGGGGGUAGAGGGAGCGUAGGCGGGAUGUCAAGUCAGAAGUGAAAAUUAUGGGCUCAACUAAUAAACUGCUUUUGAAACGGAUAUUCUAGAGUGAAGUAGAGGCAAGCGGAAUUCCUAGUGUAGCGGUGAAAUGCGUAGAUAUUAGGAGGAACACCAGUGGCGAAGGCGGCCUGCUGGGCUUUUACUGACGCUGAGGCUCGAAAGCGUGGGGAGCAAACAGGAUUAGAUACCCUAGUAGUC